Cyanistes caeruleus (blue tit) is the source of this 472-nucleotide non-coding RNA. NCBI's taxonomy places the organism in Eukaryota, Metazoa, Chordata, Aves, Passeriformes, Paridae. The record is from RefSeq and is a predicted model, not a curated record.
AACAAUAAUUAACACUAAUUAACUGCAGUGGCUCCUGCUGGCCCUGAUGCUGGCGCUGUUAGGGUGAUGCCGAGGUGCCAAUUAACACUAAUUAACGCUAAUUAACGCUAAUUAACGGUAAUUAACGCAGUGGUUAUUGCUGGCCCUGGCCCUGGCGCUGCCCCCGGUGUCGGCCGAGCCGCGGCGGCUCCAGAUCGGGUGGCUCCUGCUGGCCCUGGCCCUGGCGCUGCCCCCGGUGUCGGCCGAGCCGCGGCGGCUCCAGAUCGGGGUGAGGAAGCGGUGCCAAUUAACGCUAAUUAACACUAAUUAACGGUAAUUAACGUGGUUAUUGCUGGCCCUGGCCCUGGCGCUGCCCCCGGUGUCGGCCGAGCCGCGGCGGCUCCAGAUCGGGGUGAGGAAGCGGUGCCAAUUAACGCUAAUUAACGGUAAUUAACGGUAAUUAACGGUAAUUAACGGUAAUUAACGGUAAUUA